This 301-nucleotide ribosomal RNA is filed under the name uncultured bacterium. RNAcentral's name for it is "partial 16S ribosomal RNA". It matches the Rfam family "Bacterial small subunit ribosomal RNA", at positions 509 to 807 of the family's 1533-position model. The record is from RNAcentral.
CAGUAGCCGCGGUAAUACGGAGGGGGCUAGCGUUGUUCGGAAUUACUGGGCGUAAAGCGCACGUAGGCGGCCUGGUAAGUUAGAGGUGAAAGCCUGGAGCUCAACUCCAGAAUUGCCUUUAAGACUGCCGAGCUAGCAGGUGAGAGAGGUAAGUGGAAUUCCGAGUGUAGAGGUGAAAUUCGUAGAUAUUCGGAAGAACACCAGUGGCGAAGGCGGCUUACUGGCUCAUACUGGACGCUGAGGUGCGAAAGCGUGGGGAGCAAACAGGAUUAGAUACCCCCGUAGUCCCUGUCUCUUAUAC